Molecule: long non-coding RNA, 635 nt
Organism: Mangifera indica (mango)
Lineage: Eukaryota; Viridiplantae; Streptophyta; Magnoliopsida; Sapindales; Anacardiaceae
Exons: 2
Source: RefSeq, a predicted model, not a curated record
UAAUUUUGAGCCCCCAAAUUUAUAUAAUUUUCGGUCACUACUCUGUACCCACUGUCUCCGACUCUCUCGACCUUGAGGCCUCAAAUUCACGCUAUUUCGCUCCUGUCGUGCAGAUGUACAAACUUCCAUUUUUGUGAGCUUGCUUGGUAAAGUUCUUUACCUGUCCCCCUCUUGUGUGUUGUUGUGAAGACGUCACAAUCAACCAAAAUGUGCCGGUAUCAGGUUUGGGACGACAACAUACCUGGAAGUGAAAUCUACGAGCAAAGCCUUGAAGAACAUAGAAAUGAGGCUACUGAUUUUCUUCACCAGCUGGAGGAGUGCAUGAAUGAGUUGAGAGAAAUGAUAGAUAGCAUUAAAGAAAUCAAUAAACGUUUAAAAAGGAUAAACUAUUUUUUAUGUGCAUUCUUGUUUGUCUUAUGUAUUUUAGAGGGGCUAAAAUAUUUUCUCUAUGUACGUUUAACAUGAAGAAGUGCUGAAGAUCGAGUUGAAAGAAAUUGCGUGAUGUCUGCUUGUACAGGUUUACUUACAUUGAGUGGACUAAACACCUUAUUACUGAAUGUUGUUUUUGUGUUUGGAUUUUGCUUUUCUUUCUGACUUUCAUAGUUAUAUCAAAUUUGUAAUAGUUGUUUGGUUUU